This 473-nucleotide ribosomal RNA is filed under the name uncultured bacterium. Its description in RNAcentral is "partial 16S ribosomal RNA". It matches the Rfam family "Bacterial small subunit ribosomal RNA", at positions 28 to 523 of the family's 1533-position model. The record is from RNAcentral.
GACGAACGCUGGCGGCGUGCUUAACACAUGCAAGUUGAACGGGUCAUAUAUGAAGGGUAACCGGAGUGUAUGGCUAGUGGCGAACGGGUGAGUAAUGCAUGAGAACGUAUCCUCAAGAGGGGGACAACAUUGGGAAACCGAUGCUAAUACCCCAUAAGCCGGGAGGUAAAAGGAGCAAUCCGCUUGGGGAGCGGCUCAUGUCCUAUCAGCUGGUUGGUGAGGUAACGGCUCACCAAGGCGAAGACGGGUAGCCGGCCUGAGAGGGUGAACGGCCACACUGGAACUGAGAGGCGGUCCAGACUCCUACGGGAGGCAGCAGUGGGGAAUAUUGGGCAAUGGGGGAAACCCUGACCCAGCGACGCCGCGUGAGGGAAGAAGGCCUUAGGGUCGUAAACCUCUGUUGUGUGGGAAGAAGAGCGUGACGGUACCACACGAGGAAGUCCCGGCUAACUACGUGCCAGCCGCCGCAGUAA